This 2896-nucleotide ribosomal RNA is filed under the name Escherichia coli. Its description in RNAcentral is "23S ribosomal RNA". It matches the Rfam family "Bacterial large subunit ribosomal RNA". The record is from RNAcentral. Lineage: Bacteria; Pseudomonadati; Pseudomonadota; Gammaproteobacteria; Enterobacterales; Enterobacteriaceae.
UUAAGCGACUAAGCGUACACGGUGGAUGCCCGCAGUCAGAGGCGAUGAAGGACGUGCUAAUCUGCGAUAAGCGUCGGUAAGGUGAUAUGAACCGUUAUAACCGGCGAUUUCCGAAUGGGGAAACCCAGUGUGAUUCGUCACACUAUCAUUAACUGAAUCCAUAGGUUAAUGAGGCGAACCGGGGGAACUGAAACAUCUAAGUACCCCGAGGAAAAGAAAUCAACCGAGAUUCCCCCAGUAGCGGCGAGCGAACGGGGAGGAGCCCAGAGCCUGAAUCAGUGUGUGUGUUAGUGGAAGCGUCUGGAAAGGCGCGCGAUACAGGGUGACAGCCCCGUACACAAAAAUGCACAUGCUGUGAGCUCGAUGAGUAGGGCGGGACACGUGGUAUCCUGUCUGAAUAUGGGGGGACCAUCCUCCAAGGCUAAAUACUCCUGACUGACCGAUAGUGAACCAGUACCGUGAGGGAAAGGCGAAAAGAACCCCGGCGAGGAGUGAAAAGAACCUGAAACCGUGUACGUACAAGCAGUGGGAGCCUCUUUAUGGGGUGACUGCGUACCUUUUGUAUAAUGGGUCAGCGACUUAUAUUCUGUAGCAAGGUUAACCGAAUAGGGGAGCCGAAGGGAAACCGAGUCUUAACUGGGCGUUAAGUUGCAGGGUAUAGACCCGAAACCCGGUGAUCUAGCCAUGGGCAGGUUGAAGGUUGGGUAACACUAACUGGAGGACCGAACCGACUAAUGUUGAAAAAUUAGCGGAUGACUUGUGGCUGGGGGUGAAAGGCCAAUCAAACCGGGAGAUAGCUGGUUCUCCCCGAAAGCUAUUUAGGUAGCGCCUCGUGAAUUCAUCUCCGGGGGUAGAGCACUGUUUCGGCAAGGGGGUCAUCCCGACUUACCAACCCGAUGCAAACUGCGAAUACCGGAGAAUGUUAUCACGGGAGACACACGGCGGGUGCUAACGUCCGUCGUGAAGAGGGAAACAACCCAGACCGCCAGCUAAGGUCCCAAAGUCAUGGUUAAGUGGGAAACGAUGUGGGAAGGCCCAGACAGCCAGGAUGUUGGCUUAGAAGCAGCCAUCAUUUAAAGAAAGCGUAAUAGCUCACUGGUCGAGUCGGCCUGCGCGGAAGAUGUAACGGGGCUAAACCAUGCACCGAAGCUGCGGCAGCGACACUAUGUGUUGUUGGGUAGGGGAGCGUUCUGUAAGCCUGCGAAGGUGUACUGUGAGGUAUGCUGGAGGUAUCAGAAGUGCGAAUGCUGACAUAAGUAACGAUAAAGCGGGUGAAAAGCCCGCUCGCCGGAAGACCAAGGGUUCCUGUCCAACGUUAAUCGGGGCAGGGUGAGUCGACCCCUAAGGCGAGGCCGAAAGGCGUAGUCGAUGGGAAACAGGUUAAUAUUCCUGUACUUGGUGUUACUGCGAAGGGGGGACGGAGAAGGCUAUGUUGGCCGGGCGACGGUUGUCCCGGUUUAAGCGUGUAGGCUGGUUUUCCAGGCAAAUCCGGAAAAUCAAGGCUGAGGCGUGAUGACGAGGCACUACGGUGCUGAAGCAACAAAUGCCCUGCUUCCAGGAAAAGCCUCUAAGCAUCAGGUAACAUCAAAUCGUACCCCAAACCGACACAGGUGGUCAGGUAGAGAAUACCAAGGCGCUUGAGAGAACUCGGGUGAAGGAACUAGGCAAAAUGGUGCCGUAACUUCGGGAGAAGGCACGCUGAUAUGUAGGUGAAGUCCCUCGCGGAUGGAGCUGAAAUCAGUCGAAGAUACCAGCUGGCUGCAACUGUUUAUUAAAAACACAGCACUGUGCAAACACGAAAGUGGACGUAUACGGUGUGACGCCUGCCCGGUGCCGGAAGGUUAAUUGAUGGGGUUAGCGGUAACGCGAAGCUCUUGAUCGAAGCCCCGGUAAACGGCGGCCGUAACUAUAACGGUCCUAAGGUAGCGAAAUUCCUUGUCGGGUAAGUUCCGACCUGCACGAAUGGCGUAAUGAUGGCCAGGCUGUCUCCACCCGAGACUCAGUGAAAUUGAACUCGCUGUGAAGAUGCAGUGUACCCGCGGCAAGACGGAAAGACCCCGUGAACCUUUACUAUAGCUUGACACUGAACAUUGAGCCUUGAUGUGUAGGAUAGGUGGGAGGCUUUGAAGUGUGGACGCCAGUCUGCAUGGAGCCGACCUUGAAAUACCACCCUUUAAUGUUUGAUGUUCUAACGUUGGCCCCUAAUCGGGGUUGCGGACAGUGUCUGGUGGGUAGUUUGACUGGGGCGGUCUCCUCCUAAAGAGUAACGGAGGAGCACGAAGGUUGGCUAAUCCUGGUCGGACAUCAGGAGGUUAGUGCAAUGGCAUAAGCCAGCUUGACUGCGAGCGUGACGGCGCGAGCAGGUGCGAAAGCAGGUCAUAGUGAUCCGGUGGUUCUGAAUGGAAGGGCCAUCGCUCAACGGAUAAAAGGUACUCCGGGGAUAACAGGCUGAUACCGCCCAAGAGUUCAUAUCGACGGCGGUGUUUGGCACCUCGAUGUCGGCUCAUCACAUCCUGGGGCUGAAGUAGGUCCCAAGGGUAUGGCUGUUCGCCAUUUAAAGUGGUACGCGAGCUGGGUUUAGAACGUCGUGAGACAGUUCGGUCCCUAUCUGCCGUGGGCGCUGGAGAACUGAGGGGGGCUGCUCCUAGUACGAGAGGACCGGAGUGGACGCAUCACUGGUGUUCGGGUUGUCAUGCCAAUGGCACUGCCCGGUAGCUAAAUGCGGAAGAGAUAAGUGCUGAAAGCAUCUAAGCACGAAACUUGCCCCGAGAUGAGUUCUCCCUGACUCCCUGAGAGUCCUGAAGGAACGUUGAAGACGACGACGUUGAUAGGCCGGGUGUGUAAGCGCAGCGAUGCGUUGAGCUAACCGGUACUAAUGAACCGUGAGGCUUAACCU